This 1312-nucleotide long non-coding RNA is filed under the name Piliocolobus tephrosceles (Ugandan red Colobus). RNAcentral's name for it is "lncRNA (ENSPTEG00000002876.1)". Lineage: Eukaryota; Metazoa; Chordata; Mammalia; Primates; Cercopithecidae. The record is from RNAcentral.
AAAAAAAAAAAAAAAAAUGAGUAAAGAUAAAAUAGAUAAUUGUAAUUUAAGUGAUUAUGAAAAUGAUGAUAAUAAUGAAACAGACAGUAGUAAUUUAGAAGAUUUACCUGAAUAUGAAAGAGAGUUGAUUUUAGCAAAGCGUCACGAACAAUAUGUGAAACAAAAACAUAGAAGAAUAUUAUUAAAAAGUAGAACUUUUGAUAAUGGAAAUAAUGACUUAGCACUAAGUGAUGUGAGCGAAGAAGGUUUAUAUAUGAAUAAACAGAUUGGCAAAAUUGGUAGUAAUGAUAGUAAUAAUAUUAAUACUGAAUUAGGAAAGAGGUCUAGUAAUAAAAUUACAGCCACAAGCAACAAAAAGGUAGUACAAAAAAAACAAACUUAUAAAAAGAAAAAUAAUAUUGACAUAAUAAAUGCUGCUUCCACUACUACUGUCACCGCUACUACUACUAAUAACAAUCAUGAUGAAAAAAAUGAAAUGCAAAACAUAAACUUAACUAUUAAAAAAAAACCAAGCAAAGCUACUACGACAAGGAUUAGUAAGUUGGAUCAGGUUAAUAAUAAAGAUGAAAAAAAAAAUGACAAAGAAGAUUUAAAAGUACAAAAAAAAGAGUCCUUUGCUGAAUUUGCAGAAGAUACAUCAGAAAAAAAUGACAAAUUGUUUGAUAGUGAUAGUACAAAACAAAAAAAAAUACAAAUAAGUAAAACUAAGGACAAAAUAGAACAUCCAAAUAUUUAUACAAAUAAAAAUCAUUAUGAUCGUCCAUAUAAUAUAUCAUCAGUUUCUGAUUCAUUUUCGAAUUCAACACAAUAUAAAAAAAAAAUAAAUAAAAAUAAUAUAAAUGGAGACACGAUUAUUAAGGAAGCAAAAAAAGUAAAAAAAGCAAAUGAACGAUAUUACGAUCAUAAUUACGAACACAAACAUGAAGAGGAAGAGGAAGAGGAAGAGGAAGAUGGAGGUGAAGAUGAAAAUGAAGAUGAAGACGAAAAAACCAAAAAAAGAUUAACAAACAAACAACAAUAUAGUAAUCAAUUUAGUAGAAACGAAAAAAGAGAUGAUUCGAGUAACAAAACAGAAAUAGAAAAUUUAAAAAAAAAUAAAAAAUAUUAUAAAAAUGAAAUUAACAAUGAUAUUCAUAGUAAUAAUAAUAAUAAUAAUAAUAAUAAUAGCAAUACUAAACAUGUCGAACACAAUGUCGAUGACCCUUAUUCUACACAAACCAGAAAUGAUUUAAAAUCUUAUUACAGUUUCCCAUAUAAUGAUAAAGCAUCACGAACAGCAUCCAACGAUUAUUCUAGUUUACAUAAAUCAAAU